Long non-coding RNA from Pantherophis guttatus, 825 nucleotides. RefSeq lists it as uncharacterized. The record is from RefSeq and is a predicted model, not a curated record. Lineage: Eukaryota; Metazoa; Chordata; Lepidosauria; Squamata; Colubridae.
AUGAUGUGUCAUUGAAGACUAUUACCAUUAGUCCAUUCCUGUGGACAGAACUCUUCCAACCUGAUGUCACCAACCCUCUGGAGAAGGCAGGGCAUGCUAGAUUGGUCCAUCCCAGACAACUGAAAGACCAAUUUGGAUUCUCGAUGGAGCUUGGGAUUUCCCUGAGGAUCUGAAAUAUUUUUAUGGACUUCAAGUUUUACUUUGAUGAAGAGAGUACAAAGUUGACGGACUUCAAAUUUGGUUGUGACUUUUUGUAACAACUCUUUUUUAAUUGAAUCCAUACUGGUAUUUUCAAAUGUUGACAAAAUUGGCACGUAUGGUUAAAUUCACUCUUUUCAAUUUUCCUGCUAAUAUUUAUAAACCUAAAUUUGAUUUUCUACUACAACUACACAAUGCCAGCUAUAUAAAUAUAUCGCUUCUCAGCAAACUCAGCAGCAAAUGUACCAUUUAUGGCCAGCAUCUAUGUCUUUCAACAUCCUUUUGCUCAGGAAAGCAGGGCCUGGAUAGCUACUAAAGCUAAAACAAUGCAUGAAGUCAUCCGAUGGGCAAAGAUCCACAAGUUCAAUUCCCAGCAGAGGAUUUGAAUCCCAAAGAAUAAACAUCUGGCUACCCACAUCUGAAGCAUCCCAGUAAGGAUGACAACGAUCGCAUGUAACUAAUUAUAAAAAUAAGUUCUCAGGUAAUCCUCACCUCAUGGUAGUAAUUUGGACUGGAAUUUCAUCACUAAGCGAUGCAGUCAUGAAGUGGAGUGUCUUGAGACACCUAUAGGUGAUGGCACCUAUGGUAGUUCUCACUGCUGUUAAAUAAAAACAGGACCUCAUGUGA